GAAAGCUUUCAAUCACACUUGAGGCCCCUCAAGCGAAAUAAAGCACUGUUCCAAAUGAGUGUGGAGCUCUCCACAGAGAGAGUAACCAAACCCACCCAUUUUUAUCAUUCUUUUAUCAUCAAGGAAAAAAACAACGUUUCAUUCAUAGUCCCUGUCUGGAAAGAUAGUAUUAAAGCAAGAUUCUAUCCCACAUGAAUCCAUCCUCAUGAAUGGGAUUUAAUUACAAACUCCAGGUCUUCUGGAAUAACAUAAACAAUAACUGAUAAUUAAAAACCCUGCCCUUGUCUAAUACCAAACAUAAUGAGGUCUAAUUACACAGCAUUUCCACAGUUUUAUGCUUGGGAAAAAUCUCCUACCUUUAACUAUAGACUGUCUGCAACUUCAAGGUUGAAAAGAUGAAACUAUUAUCGGGGGCCUAAUGUGUGUUUUCCCUCCUCUUGAGAGGGUGCUAUUAAUCAGCACCAGAUUACAGGCAUUCUGUCAAAGUGGUGAAAACAGUCGCCACCCUUCACAUUCUGGUGUCUAUGCUAGACCACCAGACAAGACCCCCUCACCAACUCCAGCACGAGGCUGCGCUGCUGUCCUCCUCAGCCUGAUCCCAGAGGUUACUGCGGAGCAAAGCAAGCGGACCUGGACCCACAGCCCUACAGUUCCAAGCCCUGCACCCUACCUGCUGCACGCAGCUGCUUUUUAUCCCCAUGCAGAGAAGCCAC
RNAcentral lists this long non-coding RNA (713 nucleotides) under Lepisosteus oculatus (spotted gar). Its description in RNAcentral is "lncRNA (ENSLOCG00000022996.1)". Lineage: Eukaryota; Metazoa; Chordata; Actinopteri; Semionotiformes; Lepisosteidae. The record is from RNAcentral.